RNAcentral lists this ribosomal RNA (492 nucleotides) under uncultured bacterium. RNAcentral describes it as "partial 16S ribosomal RNA". It matches the Rfam family "Bacterial small subunit ribosomal RNA", at positions 30 to 507 of the family's 1533-position model. The record is from RNAcentral.
AUUGAACGCUGGCGGUAGGCCUAACACAUGCAAGUCGAACGGCAGCACAGUAAGUGCUUCCUCUUACGGGUGGCGAGUGGCGGACGGGUGAGGAAUACAUCCGAAUCUACUUUUUCGUAGGUGAUAACGUAGGGAAACUUACGCUAAUACCGCAUACGACCUACGGGUGAAAGCAUGGGAUCUUCGGACCUUACGCGAUUGAAUGAGCCGAUGUCGGAUUAGCUAGUUGGGGGGGUAAAGGCCCACCAAGGCGACGAUCCGUAGCUGGUCUGAGAGGAUGAUCAGCCACACUGGAACUGAGACACGGUCCAGACUCCUACGGGAGGCAGCAGUGGGGAAUAUUGGACAAUGGGCGAAAGCCUGAUCCAGCCAUACCGCGUGGGUGAAGAAGGCCUUCGGGUUGUAAAGCACUUUUGUUGGGAAAGAAAAGCAGUAGGUUAAUACCUUGCUGUUUUGACGGUACCAACAGAAUAAGCACCGGCUAACUUCGUG